GACGAACCGUGCGAACGUUGUUCGGAUUCACUGGGCUUAAAGGGCGCGUAGGCGGAAGGUCAAGUCCGAGGUGAAAUCUUUCGGCUCAACCGGAAAAGUGCCUUGGAUACGGAUCUUCUCGAGGGAGGUAGGGGCAUGUGGAACUUCCGGUGGAGCGGUGAAAUGCGUAGAGAUGUGGAGGAACACCUGUGGCGAAGGCGCCUUGCUGGCCGAUUUCUGACGCUGAGGCGCGAAAGCGUGGGGAGCAAACAGGG
This 254-nucleotide ribosomal RNA is filed under the name uncultured bacterium. Its description in RNAcentral is "partial 16S ribosomal RNA". It matches the Rfam family "Bacterial small subunit ribosomal RNA", at positions 524 to 777 of the family's 1533-position model. The record is from RNAcentral.